UACGUAGGGGGCAAGCGUUGUCCGGAAUCAUUGGGCGUAAAGAGCGUGUAGGCGGCCAGAUAAGUCCGCUGUGAAAUCUCGAGGCUCAACCUCGAGAUGUCGGCGGAAACCAUCUGGCUAGAGUCCGGAAGAGGAGAAUGGAAUUCCCGGUGUAGCGGUGAAAUGCGCAGAUAUCGGGAAGAACACCCGUGGCGAAGGCGGUUCUCUGGGACGGUACUGACGCUGAGACGCGAAAGCGUGGGGAGCGAACAGG
This 253-nucleotide ribosomal RNA is filed under the name uncultured bacterium. RNAcentral's name for it is "partial 16S ribosomal RNA". It matches the Rfam family "Bacterial small subunit ribosomal RNA", at positions 524 to 776 of the family's 1533-position model. The record is from RNAcentral.